Molecule: long non-coding RNA, 462 nt
Filed under: Mus musculus (house mouse)
Lineage: Eukaryota; Metazoa; Chordata; Mammalia; Rodentia; Muridae
Description: ENSMUSG00000109170.1 circular RNA
Source: RNAcentral
UGCUACUGUCCUGAAUUUGCAUGAGACAUGGACCUGGAAGAAUUCAGGAAUGGGAAAGGAGGACAGACAGUACUCUCUUUGUCUUAGGCAUGGUCCAUCCAACCCCAUUUUGCAGGAUCCCACUGACCUGGUUGCAGAAGACCAUCAUGCUCUGGUGUUGAUCUUUCUCUUCUUUGGACUGCCAGGAUCAUGGGAUGUCUGCUGAGGAAAGCUACAGGGAUGGGGUGCCUUUGACUCUCUUGUAUCUGCUACUUCUUUGGAUAUUAUCAUGCAGCAUCUCUUACCAUCUUUAUCUGGUGACAGUUUUCCUGUCCUGUGAUAACAGUGGCAUCAAACCCGUUACUCAGUUCUCUGUUGUUUCCUUUAGGCAGUGAAAGUUCAUGUGGCAGAUCCUUUGAAUGAUUCUCCAUGUGCCAUGCUGGACCCUUUGGGGAGCAGGCUUUCCCAGUCAUAGAUAUUCUG